AAUAGAUACCCGGGUAGUCCACGCCCUAAACGAUGCUCACUAGGUGUUGGGGAAGCGAUUCCUUGGUACCGUAGCUAACGCGUGAAGUGAGCCGCCUGGGGAGUACGGCCGCAAGGUUAAAACUCAAAGGAAUUGACGGGGACCCGCACAAGCGGUGGAUGAUGUGGAUUAAUUCGAUGCAACGCGAACAACCUUACCUACCCUUGACAUGUCCGGAAGCCUGCUGAAAGGUGGGUGUGCUCGAAAGAGAACCGGAACACAGGUGCUGCAUGGCUGUCGUCAGCUCGUGUCGUGAGAUGUUGGGUUAAGUCCCGCAACGAGCGCAACCCUUGUCCCUAGUUGCUACGCAAGGGCACUCUAGGGAGACUGCCGGUGACAAACCGGAGGAAGGUGGGGAUGACGUCAAGUCCUCAUGGCCCUUAUGGGUAGGGCUUCACACGUCAUACAAUGGACGGUACAGAGGGUUGCCAACCCGCGAGGGGGAGCCAAUCCCAGAAAGCCGUUCGUAGUCCGGAUCGCAGUCUGCAACUCGACUGCGUG
RNAcentral lists this ribosomal RNA (540 nucleotides) under uncultured bacterium. Its description in RNAcentral is "bacterial SSU rRNA". It matches the Rfam family "Bacterial small subunit ribosomal RNA", at positions 777 to 1322 of the family's 1533-position model. The record is from RNAcentral.